This 21-nucleotide unclassified non-coding RNA is filed under the name Mus musculus (house mouse). Its description in RNAcentral is "oocyte_clustered_small_RNA5191". The record is from RNAcentral. Lineage: Eukaryota; Metazoa; Chordata; Mammalia; Rodentia; Muridae.
UGAAGCUAGUACUGCUAACAC